Long non-coding RNA from Pyrus x bretschneideri (Chinese white pear), 2631 nucleotides. RefSeq lists it as uncharacterized. The record is from RefSeq and is a predicted model, not a curated record. NCBI's taxonomy places the organism in Eukaryota, Viridiplantae, Streptophyta, Magnoliopsida, Rosales, Rosaceae. The transcript is spliced from 3 exons.
AUCAAGAUUUUUUGUGUGUUUAUACAUGAAUAUACAUAUUUUCCAAACAGGUGUCGAUCAUUACUAUCGAAUGGUUUGGUUGGAUGCUCGUGAUGUAUAAAUACAUGAGUGUUUUUGGCAGAUGUCAUUGAGCCUUUAAAAGGAAGAGGGAUUAUGGGAUGUAAGAUGGCUGCCUAGUGCCUCCGAUUAUGUUUCAUGAACCUCCAAUGGCCAGGAAAACAAAACAAAAAAAUUGUGAACGGGAAGUAGGCAAAGUUAUAUCAAACUCAAGCUUGAAUUGUAAUUUUGAGGGUUCCAUCCUUCUAGCUGUGAUAUAACCACAAUUGAAGGAUUGGCAAUUUUUGGUGGUGGUUUUAUAAUAAUGAAAACAAGAUGCGACACUGUUGAAUGGUAAAAGUUGUUGUUUAGUCCCCUUAAUGUGUUGUCAACUUGCUGGGAAUGUAAUUUUAGUAUUUCUAGAACUAUUUCGUCACAAAAGACUAGCGAUGUUUUUUUUUCUUCUCUUCCCUUUUAUAUAAAAACUUUCUGGAAACAAACCAAAUGAGUCCCUAAAAUUAUAAUUAAAGUUGUGGUUAUGGAGAAGACGUUGUGACAAGUGGAUGGUGGAGGUUGGAAUGGCAUAGUGAACAUGAUUAUUGUUCAAGCGGAGAUGCAGCUGGUUACAGCUUAAAAAGUGAAUGCACAUUAUUAACGAUGGUGGUGGUGGUGGUUUUUGACAAUUGUGUCUUUGUGGUAGUGGUGGCUAUGAUGAUGGUGCACAAAUCUUAGUAAUAGGACAUAGGAGGUUUCUCAUGAGGUUGUAGUUUCUUUUUUAAGGUUUCUAGGGUUGUAGCUGUAUGUAAGUGUUAUUGGGAACAAGGGCUAAUGGCAGUUAUGGCAUGACAACAGAAGUUGUGUGUAAAAAGUGGUAGUGUGGUAGAAGGUGCCUUCCAUUGAGAAGUUUUAAGAGGUGGAUCCAGCUUGAUAGCACAAAAUUUGGAACUUGACAAUAUAUUGCCCUUUCCUUGUUUUUCUGUUCGAAACUUCUUGUUUGUUCUUACUGUAUUCUUCAGAUAUUACAUCAAGCUUUGUGAUACUUAAUUAAAAAUUUUAAGAAGAUUUGUUUCACCCGUGCGUGUUGUUUAGUUUGUUGUAUAUGUAGUACUGAGCAGAAUAAUAAGUUGUAAAUUUACUGAGAACAGAACUUGUGGCCUUCUGCAGUUUGCUUAAUUUAUGAUUUUUUUUUCUUUCAUUUUUUGGCAAUUUGUUCUUGUAUUGAGGUCAGAUUUAAGAUUUUCAAGGAUUGUUUACCUCUUCCGGAAAAUGCUUUUAAAGCAGCUAUCAGAGACAACUACCAGGGAGGUUCUAAGUUCAAACAAGAGCUCAAUAGCAAACAGGUGCAUGCUUUAAUCUCAUUGUUCUGGCCUCUUACCGAGUCAGUGCCUACUUCUGCUCCCCCUCUCCGAGAUGUGGCAAGACCAGGCUCAUUUCCAUCUCCUAUUGCAGAAGAAGGAUUUCGUCCAACAGCAAGGCUGUCCCAUCAAGAGGGCUCCUAUUCAUAUAGUGUGCAACGCACUCAUGCAUUGCCGCUUGAUUUGCAAUCCAGGCAGGCGAUCCCUUUUCCACUGUAUGAUCAAAUAUGAGGUCAAAACACAUGUGGAAGAUUGACGGCGUGACUUAGUGCCUCAACAUGUUCAGCAUGCUUCUCUUCCACAUCAUGCCGAUUCGUAUUAUUUAGCGGCGGCACAUGAGCGGUACUUGCCCGAAAACCUUUCCCAUCAUGAUGCGUAUAGAAGGCAUAGGGUGACACUUGCAGAGGAGAUGGUUCCCAGGGAUCAAGUUGUUUUGUAUGGAAGCGAGUAUGACAUGCCCCAUUUGUCGAAGGAGAGAGAGAGAGAGAGAGAGAUAUUGCUCUGCGUUCCAAUUAUGUGGUCGAAUCUUAUAGUCGAGAGUUGCCCGCCGCUGCAGCCUCACAUGUUAUGCUGCACUCGCAUUCUUUAGCACCGUCUUAUGAACGAAUAUUAACGUACCAACGGUACUAUCCAGUGACAACCCGUCAGGGUCAGAGCUUGGUGUAUGCUGAUCCUCUUCAAAGACCAUUGCAUGGGACCUCUUACUCAGCUGAGGCUGAUGUUCCAAUCUCUACACAUUAUUCGUACAGUAGAGCUCCCCAUUACCGAUGAACGAAACUUGGAUGUGUAGAUUCAUUCAAGACAUGCUGGUAAUGUGUUGUUUCAUUGUCAAAUACUGGUCGGAACUUUAUACAAUCAUCUCCCGAGUCUCGCCGGUAAACUGUCUAUUCCGUUUUUCAUCUGUGCCAUCCAUCUCAAAGUGUAGAUCAUUUUCGAAAUCUGAGGCAUAAUCUAGCGCGCAAAGCAACGAAAUAAAUUAGAUCAGUCUGCCUUUGUUAGCACCUGCCAUGGCGGUGUGGAAUUACGUCUUCCCUUGAUAAGCUCAUGUCCUUAUACGAUUUCUAGUUUCUAUGCAGACUCUUGCAUUGAGGCAAACUUUGUAUAAGAUGUGAACCGUUUUGAGACGGGCCUUCAACUUCACUUGUGUAGAACUAUUCACCUCUUUCUCUCUUAAUUUGAGAAUCGAGUGUAAAGGAACAGUUAGUGUCAUGUUCAGAAAUCCAUCUUUUUACUUUUUACA